CUUGCAUAAAGCUGGAAAGGGUUAUAAAAGUAUCUCCAAAAGCCUUGCUGUUCAUCAGUGCACGGUAAGACAAAUUGUCGAUAAAUGGAGAAAGUUCAGCACUGCUGCUACUCUCCCUAGGAGUGGCCGUCCUGUAAAGAUGACUGCAAGAGCACAGCUCAAUGAGGUGAAGAAGAAUCCUAGAGUGUCAGCUAAAGACUUACAAAAGUCACUGGCAAAUGCUAACAUCCCUGUUAGCGAAUCUACAAUACGUAGAGCACCUGGCAAAAUAUUCUGUGG
This is a non-coding RNA of Pelobates cultripes (western spadefoot toad), 279 nucleotides long. Lineage: Eukaryota; Metazoa; Chordata; Amphibia; Anura; Pelobatidae. The record is from the annotation of a GenBank genome assembly.